This 489-nucleotide ribosomal RNA is filed under the name uncultured bacterium. RNAcentral describes it as "bacterial SSU rRNA". It matches the Rfam family "Bacterial small subunit ribosomal RNA", at positions 21 to 507 of the family's 1533-position model. The record is from RNAcentral.
GGCUCAGGACGAACGCUGGCGGCGUGCCUAACACAUGCAAGUCGAACGAAGAUUGUUUGAAAUGAGACUUCGGUCAAUUUUCAAUUAAUCUUAGUGGCGGACGGGUGAGUAACGCGUGAGUAACCUGCCGUUCAGAGGGGGACAACAGUUGGAAACGACUGCUAAUACCGCAUAAGCGCACAGCAUCGCAUGAUGCAGUGUGAAAAACUCCGGUGGUAUGAGAUGGACCCGCGUCUGAUUAGCUAGUUGGUGAGGUAACGGCCCACCAAGGCGACGAUCAGUAGCCGGCCUGAGAGGGUGAACGGCCACAUUGGGACUGAGACACGGCCCAAACUCCUACGGGAGGCAGCAGUGGGGAAUAUUGCACAAUGGGGGAAACCCUGAUGCAGCGACGCCGCGUGAGUGAAGAAGUAUUUCGGUAUGUAAAGCUCUAUCAGCAGGGAAGAAGAAAUGACGGUACCUGACUAAGAAGCCCCGGCUAACUACGUG